RNAcentral lists this ribosomal RNA (253 nucleotides) under uncultured bacterium. Its description in RNAcentral is "partial 16S ribosomal RNA". It matches the Rfam family "Bacterial small subunit ribosomal RNA", at positions 524 to 776 of the family's 1533-position model. The record is from RNAcentral.
UACGUAGGGGGCAAGCGUUGUCCGGAAUCAUUGGGCGUAAAGCGCGUGUAGGCGGCCCGGUAAGUCCGCUGUGAAAGUCCAGGGCUCAACCCUGGGAUGCCGGUGGAUACUGUCGGGCUCGAGUCCGGAAGAGGCGAGUGGAAUUCCUGGUGUAGCGGUGAAAUGCGCAGAUAUCAGGAGGAACACCAAUGGCGAAGGCAGCUCGCUGGGACGUGACUGACGCUGAGACGCGAAAGUGUGGGGAGCAAACAGG